AAUCAAGGCAGAGUAAGACUUUGAAGGGCAAUUGAGAAGGCUUUCAUUCCUAAGGCAUAUAUGCGCGGCAGGCCCUUUCUCCAGUCUGAUUUUGAUUUCCUGAACCCUGGACCUAUCUCUCUCAUGCAUGAAAAAUCCCCAACCAAAGCUCUAUCUCUCUCUCGAUUCUUCCCCCCUCGCAUUCUCUCCUUCGUGUGACACCAGAAGCCGAAGCCCCCAUUCGGCCUUUGUUCACACUGCCCGGGUCUGUCGCCCUCUAGUUCGUGAGCCCUAGCUGACGUCAACCCCUCUGCUUGUCUUACCUGGUUGUAAGAAGUCCAGUCCCCCGCCUUAGCUACUAGCCUCCAUCCCUUUGCAAGUUUGCUCUAUUAUAAAGAUUAUCAUUCGGCUCAAUUUGGGAUGUAAACUCAUACUGCAGGGGAUGAAAUGGCAUGGCACAUUGUUGACUCAGAUAAAGAACGGAAAUGCGUUGCGUGACCUGCUGCA
This is a long non-coding RNA of Dendrobium catenatum, 486 nucleotides long. RefSeq lists it as uncharacterized. The record is from RefSeq and is a predicted model, not a curated record. The transcript has 3 exons. NCBI's taxonomy places the organism in Eukaryota, Viridiplantae, Streptophyta, Magnoliopsida, Asparagales, Orchidaceae.